Non-coding RNA from Caenorhabditis brenneri, 73 nucleotides. Lineage: Eukaryota; Metazoa; Nematoda; Chromadorea; Rhabditida; Rhabditidae. The record is from the annotation of a GenBank genome assembly.
GCCAGUAUGGCUCAGUCGGUUAGAGUUUUGGCUUUGGAGAGAAGGGUCCCGGGUUCGAUUCCUCGGGGGGUUA